UACGUAGGGUCCAAGCGUUAUCCGGAAUCACUGGGCGUAAAGCGUGCGUAGGCGGAUGCUUAAGUGUAUUGCGAAAUCUUGUGGCUCAACCAUAUAGACUGUAAUACAUACUGGGUAUCUUGAGGAUGGCAGAGGCAAGUGGAAUUUGUAGUGUAGCAGUGAAAUGCGUAGAUAUUACAAGGAACACCAAUGGCGAAGGCAGCUUGCUGGGCCAUUUCUGACGCUGAGGUACGAAAGCGUGGGGAGCGAACAGG
Molecule: ribosomal RNA, 254 nt
Filed under: uncultured bacterium
Lineage: Bacteria
Also listed under: 1 other name
Description: partial 16S ribosomal RNA
Rfam family: Bacterial small subunit ribosomal RNA
Source: RNAcentral